ACAAUGCACUCACGUGCGAUGGGGCUAUCUCGAGUGCCACCUGAUGAAGGUGGCUUUUCCUAGGUCUUCAAAGCCUUGGGAAUAAGAGGGGGGCAAGACUGGUGUCAGCCGCCGCGGUAACACCAGCCCCUCGAGUGGUGGGGAUGAUUAUUUGGCCUAAAGCGUCCGUAGCCGGCCGAGCAAGUCUUCCGUUAAAUCCAGCGUCUCAAGCGUUGGACCGCGGGAGAUACUACACGGCUAGAGAGUGGGAGAGGUCAGCGGUAUUCUGGGGGUAGGGGCGAAAUCCUUUGAUCCCCGGAGGGCCACCAGUGGCGAAGGCUGCUGACUAGAACACGUCUGACGGUCAGGGACGAAAGCUGGGGUAGCGAACCGGAUUAGAUACCCGGGUAGUCCCAGCCGUAAACGAUGCAUGCUAGGUGUUGGGUUGGCCACGAGCCACCCCAGUGCCGCAGGGAAGCCGUUAAGCAUGCCGCCUGGGAAGUACGAUCGCAAGAUUGAAACUUAA
Molecule: ribosomal RNA, 505 nt
Filed under: uncultured archaeon
Lineage: Archaea
Description: bacterial SSU rRNA
Rfam family: Archaeal small subunit ribosomal RNA
Source: RNAcentral